GACGAACGCUGGCGGCGUGCUUAACACAUGCAAGUCGAACGGAAAGGCCCUGCUUUUGUGGGGUGCUCGAGUGGCGAACGGGUGAGUAACACGUGAGUAACCUGCCCUUGACUUUGGGAUAACUUCAGGAAACUGGGGCUAAUACCGGAUAGGAGCUCCUGCUGCAUGGUGGGGGUUGGAAAGUUUCGGCGGUUGGGGAUGGACUCGCGGCUUAUCAGCUUGUUGGUGGGGUAGUGGCUUACCAAGGCUUUGACGGGUAGCCGGCCUGAGAGGGUGACCGGCGAGAGGGGGGCGGAGGAAGGGCCAAGAGUGAGAGGGGGGGAGGAGGAGGAGAACAGCGCACAGUGGAGGGAGGCCUCGUGCGGCGACGCCGCGGGGGGGAUGACGGCCGUGGGGUUGAAACCCGCUUACGCCCGGGGCGGGGAUGGGGGGAAGAUAAUGGGGAAAGAAGCAGCGGCGAACUGCGCGCCAGCGGCAGCGGUACGAGGAGGAGGAGCAGACGUCCGAAC
RNAcentral lists this ribosomal RNA (509 nucleotides) under uncultured bacterium. RNAcentral's name for it is "partial 16S ribosomal RNA". It matches the Rfam family "Bacterial small subunit ribosomal RNA", at positions 33 to 541 of the family's 1533-position model. The record is from RNAcentral.